This 895-nucleotide ribosomal RNA is filed under the name uncultured archaeon. RNAcentral's name for it is "bacterial SSU rRNA". It matches the Rfam family "Archaeal small subunit ribosomal RNA", at positions 21 to 904 of the family's 1478-position model. The record is from RNAcentral.
CCCGACUGCUAUUUGGGUGAGGAUAAGCCAUGCGAGUCGAAUGGGAUACCUAAAUUUCCCAUGGCGAACUGCUCAAUAACACAUGAUCAACUUACCCUAUAGAGAAAAAUAACCUCGGGAAACUGAGGAUAAUGUUUCAUAGUUGAARAGGCUUGGAAAAGUUUUUCGACCAAAGGGAUAAGAAAAAUGGUUUUUAUCCGCUAUAGGAUAGGAUCGUGGUCGAUUAUGGUCGUUGGUGAGGUAUGGCUCACCAAGCCGAUAAUCGAUAGGGGCCGUGAGAGCGGGAGCCCCGAGAUGGGUACUGAGACAGCGACCCAGGCCUUACGAGGCGCAGCAGGCGCGGAACCUCCGCAAUACACGAAAGUGUGACGGGGUUACCCAAAGUGUUCAAUUUUGAACUGUGGUAGGUGAGUAAUGUUCCCUACUAGAAAGGAGAGGGCAAGGCUGGUGCCAGCCGCCGCAGUAAAACCAGCUCUUCAAGUGGUCGGGAUAAUAUUGGGCUUAAAGUGUCCGUAGCCGGUUUAGUAAGUUCCUGGUAAAAUCGGGUAGCUUAACUAUCUGCAUGCUAGGAAUACUGCUAUACUAGAGGACGGGAGAGGUCUGAGGUACUACAGGGGUAGGGGUGAAGUCUUAUAAUCCUUGUAGGACCACCAGUGGCGAAGGCGUCAGACUGGAACGUGCCUGACGGUGAGGGACGAAAGCCAGGGGAGCGAACCGGAUUAGAUACCCGGGUAGUCCUGGCCGUAAACGAUGCAUACUAGGUGAUGGCAUGGCCAUGAGCCAUGUCAGUGCCGUAGGGAAACCGUUAAGUGUGCCGCCUGGGAAGUACGGUCGCAAGGCUGAAACUUAAAGGAAUUGGCGGGGGAGCACCACAAGGGGUGAAGCCUGCGGUUCA